RNAcentral lists this transfer RNA (72 nucleotides) under bacterium. RNAcentral's name for it is "tRNA-Val". It matches the Rfam family "tRNA". From Rfam's summary of the family: Transfer RNA (tRNA) molecules are approximately 80 nucleotides in length. The record is from RNAcentral.
GCGCCCUUAGCUUAAUGGAAAAGCGUCACAUUGACAUUGUGAAGAGCGCAGGUUCGAUCCCUGCAGGGCGCA